Molecule: long non-coding RNA, 684 nt
Organism: Poecilia latipinna (sailfin molly)
Lineage: Eukaryota; Metazoa; Chordata; Actinopteri; Cyprinodontiformes; Poeciliidae
Exons: 2
Source: RefSeq, a predicted model, not a curated record
CCGGCAGAUCUGAAUCACCUGCACCGCAUUAUCUCAUCUAGAGGAGCAUAAGAGGAGGAGGCAGCCUACACAUCGGUGCCAGAGUGUUUGCCAGGUUUGGUACUUCAGGCCACCUGUUCUACUUUAGUGAUUGCUCUCGUCGUGAAUUCCUUGUGAUAUUGUUUUUGUGCCUCCUUCCCAGAAACUCUCCUUGAGACACCGGUGGAUUCUACCCACUGGAUGGCCAAGAACCCGUUACCUUCUUAUUGUGACCAGAUCUCCCCGGAUCUCCAAGUAGGCUGUUUUCCUUGCUCCUGCCAUAGAGAAAACCUGGUCUGAUCUUGUCCGCCCUCCAGUGCCGCCCCCCACGUUCAGCAGCAACCCCCCGGCUUCAAGACAUUCACCCUGGAACCAUCAUAUCCCUCCCUGGUCCUGAUCAUCUCCACCAAGAUCACAGUCCAGAAGCGCUGAUCCAACCCCGGACCUGAUUGCCUUUUUGAUUAUUGCCUUCUUUAUAAUAUCAUUUUACUGAUUUCCCUUGUACUGUGGGUAUUCUUGCAUGUGGGUCAGAAGAUUAAAACCUGACAUGACGGUCUCGUUCUCCAUUCUUUGAUGGACUGUAGAGAGCAGUGUUGGGCACCUAUGGCAAACAUGCAACACUACACAAUGUGUCUGGAAUUAAUAAAUACAGUUAUUAGAAACAUG